GACGAACGCUGGCGGCGUGCUUAACACAUGCAAGUCGAACGGAAAGGCCCUGCUUUUGUGGGGUGCUCGAGUGGCGAACGGGUGAGUAACACGUGAGUAACCUGCCCUUGACUUUGGGAUAACUUCAGGAAACUGGGGCUAAUACCGGAUAGGAGCUCCUGCUGCAUGGUGGGGGUUGGAAAGUUUCGGCGGUUGGGGAUGGACUCGCGGCUUAUCAGCUGGUUGGUGGGGUAGUGGCUUACCAAGGCUUUGACGGGUAGCCGGCCUGAGAGGGUGACCGGCCACAUGGGGACUGAGAUACGGCCCAGACUCCUACGGGAGGCAGCAGUGGGAAAUAUUGCACAAUGGGCGGAAGCCUGAUGCAGCAACGCCGCGUGCGGGAUGACGGCCUUCGGGUUGUAAACCGCUUUCGCCUGUGACGAAGCGUGAGUGACGGUAAUGGGUAAAGAAGCACCGGCUAACUACGUG
This 468-nucleotide ribosomal RNA is filed under the name uncultured bacterium. Its description in RNAcentral is "partial 16S ribosomal RNA". It matches the Rfam family "Bacterial small subunit ribosomal RNA", at positions 28 to 507 of the family's 1533-position model. The record is from RNAcentral.